UGUUUCCUGGGAUGACCGAAAACCUGGUAUUUUGAACCUACACCGUUAAUAUGGGAGUUCUAUAUCCUGGAGUUAAUGUCAGGCCUCAUUUUUUUCCCUUUGGGACAGAGGAAGGCAGAGGUUCCAGUGAGGACACCCACCUGGCAUGAGCUAGGGCGUCAAAAAUCAGGGAAACGGCAUUUUGGGUAACAA
This 192-nucleotide non-coding RNA is filed under the name Defluviitaleaceae bacterium. RNAcentral describes it as "6S RNA". It matches the Rfam family "6S / SsrS RNA". Rfam says of the family: E. coli 6S RNA was the first non coding RNA to be sequenced, but its function was unknown until recently. It consists of 184 nucleotides that fold into an extended hairpin structure with a large single-stranded internal bulge. Lineage: Bacteria; Bacillati; Bacillota; Clostridia; Lachnospirales; Defluviitaleaceae. The record is from RNAcentral. RNAcentral also lists the same sequence under 1 other name.